Doryrhamphus excisus (bluestripe pipefish) is the source of this 8719-nucleotide non-coding RNA. The record is from RefSeq and is a predicted model, not a curated record. NCBI's taxonomy places the organism in Eukaryota, Metazoa, Chordata, Actinopteri, Syngnathiformes, Syngnathidae.
CCCCCCCCCCCCCCCCCCCCCCCCCCCCCCCCAUGCCACACGUCAGGAACCGACCGCUAAACAAUCAAUUGGGCUUCAACCAGCCCCAAUUGCGUAACCCUAACCUUCCCUCCCCGGGGGGCUGCACCUUCUUUUUGGACCUGAACCUCUUACCUCAACCGUGAAUCCUUUCUCACCCCCCCAGAAUAAUUAGCCACACCCCCUUGCCUCCCAGCCAAUAGGACGUGUGUUACUAUCCAGCACAACGGCAGCAUGGUGCCUUUUAUUCCUUCCUGCCCAAGGUGCGGUCUUCCAUUCCUAGCCCCCCACGCCUUACAUGGAAACACGGAAAAGGAAGGAAAUAUUCCAAGGUAGUAAAGUAGUAUUUGAAUGUUUAGUAAGAAUCAAGUGGUAACGUGAUAUAGCAUAUAUUUCUAUCAUGGUAUAUAAAGGUGGUAUUCAAACAAGAAAAGUGGCAAUUCUACUCGCCUAAAGUCGGAAUAUUAUGAGGAUUUGAAGGAGAAAUAAAAGUCCAAAUAUUAGGAGGGGAACAGUGGUAUUUAAACAAGUACAAAAAGAAUGAAAGUGGUAAUAUUUGGAGGAAGUAGUAUUUAAACAAGUAAAAAAAGAAUGAAAGUGGUAAUAUUUGGAGGAAGUGGUAUUUAAACAAGUACAAAAAGAAUGAAAGUGGUAAUAUUUGGAGGAAGUAGUAUUUAAACAAGUAAAAAAAGAAUGAAAGUGGUAAUAUUUGGAGGAAGUAGUAUUUAAACAAGUAAAAAAAGAAUGAAAGUGGUAAUAUUUGGAGGAAGUGGUAUAUUCCAUAUGUAACGUUUAAGCUGUGAUACGAUGAGAAGAAAGAUGAUGGAAGAUGAAAUAUUUGGAAAAAAUCAAUGAAAUGCUAGAAAUAUAAAUCUAUAUCUAGUCUGUCUUCUAAGCAUAUCCAAUUCAUCCUUUCAUUUCUCACUGGGGGGGGGGGGGCAUUUGGACACCCCUGGAUGAUGGCUUCAAUGAAAAUCCGUUUUCCACGGGGCGCGGCCGGGGGCUCCUUGAAGGGUGGCAUAAGUUGCACAUUUUCUGAUAUUGGGAAUGUUUUUUUUGGGGGGGGGGGGACAAAACCAUGUGAAUGGGUGGUCUGGGAUCGGCCGAUAUGAAAAGCACAAAUCCAAAGAUGGCACCGCAAGGCUCGGCUCGCUCGCCCGUCUCCAAAUGGCCUCCGGUCCGCACGCUUUCACGUUGUAGCAAAACAUUUAGUGGCGCGGGAUCAUCAGGGAAAAAUGGCGGCAUUGGAUGAUCGCCAUGUCAACGCCACGUCAACGCUUGAUUGUCAGGAACACAAACUGUAGAAGGACCAGCACCGCCUGUUGGAACUCGUGGGUUGUGUCCUUUGGUCUGGUCUGACGCUAAGUCGUACACGGCGUACUAAGUCGUACACGGCGUACUAAGUCGUACACGGCGUACUAAGUCGCACACGGCGUACUAAGUCGCACACGGCGUACUUUGGCCAGCUGACCUCCAUCUUGGAAGGCUAAGUGCAAUAACCAUUUCUUGAACGCGUUCACUGGAAGUUUUUGGGAAGUUGAAAGAGCCAAAGUCACGGAAGCUGUAGCAGAUGGAGGCGUUUCCUGUUCCCUUCUUGAAAGAACAAACCAUAACUGUGAUCCGGCAGCUCGGCCGAGGAAGGAAGCACCAGUUGGCGCGCUGGCUGCUUCCUUUCCUGCUUCCUUUCCUGCUUCCUUUCCUGCUUCCCUAGCGAUAGACCUGCAUGCCUAGAUGUGGACGCGUCCUUCUGGAAUGGAAGCUCUUCACCAAACCAUCAAACGUCCCGUUUGAUUGUCCUUCUGUUAGCGAGAGAGGGAAAAAACAUUCCCCUCAGAAGUUUUCCAAAAGCGGAAACGUUAGCCAGCGUGAAGGAUGGAUUUACGCUAGCAGUCACUCUUCCCCUUUGUUUUUGAGACCCUAGCUUUAGCUAGCAGUUUUAGCCGUUUCAUCAUUGGCAACAUCUCCAACGUCUCACGUAACUCCAACUAACUCGGAAUACAAUUGGAAUUGUCAUUUCUUUAUGCCGCACGUUUUCUUCACUGCAACGUAUCGGCCGUUACGCCAACUCUUCCACUUUGAAAGUAAGAUUUCUUUGAUAAUUGCAUAUAUUUUGUCAUGUAUCUCCACAGUUGCUGUAUGCUAGCGUUAGCAUUGGCAAAUGCAGCCACGUAUCUCCCGUUACGCUUCCAUUCUGGAUACGCCGUUUCCUUGAUGAUCACGUAGACGUCAGGAUGCAGUCGUACAUUUGCUACCAAUAUCGUCGAUGCCAACACGGUACGGUGGUUGGAUCUCCCCGUUCUCCAACUCCUCCGUUCCGUAAAUUCCGUAAUUUGAGUUUGGCAUUUCUUCUCAGGAUGAAUAUCGCUAGCCGAUGUUCCUUCCAAUAGGUUGCUGUAAACACAAUAUCCUAUCUCUCCCAAAAUGGGAUUGUACUCCCGCAACGUCCAUCCCGCCGCAAACGGAGCACCAUGUGGGCGUGCUCCCUCCAAAAUACUCCCAAAGGAAAAGUCUGUUUUUUUCCUGUUCCUAGUCGUAGCUUAUUUGCGGAAAAUCCCCCAAGAGUCUUUUAUCAGGAGCCAAAGGACUCUGAAUCAGGGCACGUGAUGACUUACAAUCAACUGAUUUCACAGCGCGCCUUGCCUUGGCUUCUCCGAACUAUCGGACAACUUAGUCAUUUAGGAAAACUGCAACAUUCCAAAGCUGGCUCCGUAUUCCGCCGUUAGUUGUUGCUUUGCGGGUGAGCCGUUUGUGUGUGUCAGCGACAGGGUUCCCUACUUCGCCGAUUACCUCAUUGACCCCAUCUGCAAACCCGCUCCUUCUGGGGCCGUGCACCCCACAAGGAGUCCACGCCGUCGUCACCAGCACUUCAGAGACCAAGCGACCGCCGCCGCCCGCGCCGCCACCGCCGCCUACGCCGCCGCCCGCGUUUCCUUGGCAAACUACAAAUCAUCACUUUUCUUUUUUUUUUUUUUUUGGUCUGUUUCUUUGCCGGCGCUGCAGCUCAUCCAGUCGAGCGUUCGCGGGAUUUUCCAAAACCGAGGUUUUUCACCCGCCCUCGUAAAUUGUAUCGAUUUCCACUUUUAAAAAAUAUAUUUUAUCCCAUCAAAUUUGACCAUCAAAUUUCAGCGUUUAAGCUGCUCAAAUAUACACAUUUUGGAUAUUGACUAUUUUUCCAAAGGGAUUUUUAUUUUGUUGCGGUUGUAAAAUUCCAAUUACAUUUUUUUAUGACAUCAGAAUAUUAGAGAUUUUUUUUGGGGGGCCCGUUAAAAAUCAAAUCAAACCAAAUUUUUGUGUAAAAUUGACUUUAUUUGGAAUGCAUAUAAUGACUUUAUUCCUGUUAGAUUACAACUCCCAUCAAAUUUGUCCGUGAAAUUUCAGCUUCGAAGCCACAAAAAUGUACAACUAUAAUAUAAUAUUGACAUAAUAUUGACAUAAUAUUGACAUAAUAUUGACAUAAUAUUGACAUAAUAUUGACAUAAUAUUGCCAAUUUUCCCGAGAGUAAUGAUUUUUUGGAUGUAAAAUUCCAAUAUGUUUUUUAAACACUUCAUGUUCAAAAAUAUUUCAAAUUUGCUGGAGUGAAAUGACAUCUUGUGGUAUGACAUUUAUUUUUGCGUUAUUCAUAAGAUAAUGUUGAAAAUAUUCAACUUUAUUUUCAUAUUCAUCACGUAAAAUUGGGGCAAUGUUCAAAUAUUUUUCUGGUAAAAAGGUCAGCCAAUGGAAACAUUUGUCUUUUUUUAGGUUAUAAAAAUGAUCAUCUGGGCACAUUAUGACUUUCCAUGGUUUUAAUGUUGCAACUUUAUUUUCGUAUGAGUCUUGUGAAAUUAGGACAAUGCUAAAAAACAAAAUGUUUCCUCGUGAAAUGAGGCCUUUUUGAAGGCAUUUAACGACUUUAUUCCUCUAUCAUUACAACUUUCAGACAAUGCAAACAUUUGUCUUUUUGGACAUCCUAGAAUUCCAACUUUUUCAAGCUCGUAAUUUUUCCGAGGGGAACGAUAUUUUUGUUUUUGUAAAAUUCCAUUCUAAUGUUCCGUUGCGACUUUUUCGGCACAUAACGACUCCAUUUGUGUGGGAUUCCGACUUGAAGCCAAACGCAAACUUUUGUGUUUCUGUACCAGAUGUCAAAUUGUCUCUUAAAGUCCGACUUUACGCCAGCAAAAUGACCCAUCUUUGUUUUCCUCAGUUUAUCAGUAUGUCCUCAGUUUAUUGUCACAUUAGGCUAUUCUCUUUCCAAGCGACAAAACGUGGCGUUGGCAACAACACAUUGGCUUUUUUUUCCUCAAAUUGUCCAAAUGAUUUCAUCAAUCAAAUGUAUUUUUUGUCCUCGUAUUGGAAUUGGAAUAGUUUGGGCUUUUUUCUUGAUAAAUCCAGAAAGAGUUGCCGUUAGCGCCCCUCGCGGGAAACUAGCGCUCCAACCUUGACGGGCGUCGCUAAUUAGCGAGCAAAGUGUUUGCGUCACUCGUUCAUUUUUCGUAGCAUUUCUUCUACCUCCUUUUGGGUUUUUUGUUGUUGUUGUUGUUGUUGUUGUUGUUUGUCUCCACCUUUUCUCUCACUUUGGAAGAAGUCGCCGUUUGGGACAAAAACCAUUUGAUGAUCCUAAGGCUAGCUAGAAUAAAAAGAUCCAAUAAAGUGUGCUUGCUGUACCUGUAGAUGUUUGUUUGGGUAAAAAAACUAUUUAUGAGAAGCAUUUAUACGACUAAACACCACUGGAAUGUGAAGCCAGACCAUAUGUUCCCAUGCAGAUUCCCAUGAUGGUCCCCUUUAACGCUAAAGUAGCGUCGAGUGGUCCUGUCGGAGGGUUUGGGCUUUUUUGGCCUCUUAAGUCGUAAAAUAUUGCGACCCGGCGCAAAUCCCCGCUCCCGUCUUUUUAAAGACCGAACAAAAUGGAUGUUUUGAGGCCCUAAACCCCGCCCCCUUGCCCCUUCUAGACAGACGCAGGCCCCGCCCCCACCCUAGCCUAGCCCCGCCUCAGCGGAACAUGUUUUUGGUUUGUCAGACAAUGCAAUCCUGAAAGCACUUUGCCUUGUUAUUCCUUUUGUGUGAACACGUGAAUGAUUUGUUACAGAGAUGAUGCUAAUAAUAAUAAUGUUGAUAAAUAUGUAAAUGAUCAUUCACUGUUUUGGAACAACCUGCAUCUGUCUUUCUGACAUUAAAAGAAAAAGGAGAAAAAUCCAAUGUAGUGACAUGAAAAGCUAUUUUCUAGAAUGUUUGCUGCAGCCGAUCGGUCUCGUCAUUCAGUAUUGUGGCUUGGGGUUGUUUGUGUUCAAUAAAGUGCUAUUGCUAAAUAUCCACGCCUCUUUGUCGCCGUUUCCUGCGCUCGCUCUCGUCAUCUGCUACCUCACCCACGUGGCUGGCUGGAGCGCUCAUCUCGUGCUGGAAGACGCAGCCGAGCUUGUGUCGUCCAUAUUCAUUUUUCUAUUUUUUCAGUUUUCUGGACAAACUCUUGAGGUGUUUUUUAGGUGGUCCGCGUGGCUAAGAUCCAGGAGUUUAAGCCCAAAGAGCGAGGCAAAAGCCACAAUGACUUCUUACAUCGGAGAGGAAUUGAACGCCUUCAAUGGCAACCCAUGUUAUCAGGAAAGUCCACUCACCACCUCAGACAACGAAAACGCUGCCACCGAACUGUUGGCCCACAUCUUUUUCUGCAUCCUCACGAGCUGAAAAACCGCAACGGAUAUGCAGAAAAAAUGAGACAAGCUGAGGAAAUCUGAGGUUGUUGCAGGAAAGACUCAAUGUUUGAUUUCUAAGCACGCCAGCCACAGAUGGAACAUCUUAUAUAGCGCCAAAAGACCGGGAUCAAACCCCUCCUUUGGCCUGACGUCAGGUCAUCAAUGUGCUGACGUGUGGACUGUACCAUUACUGCUGAUCAAUGUGCUGACGUGUGGACUGUACCAUUACUGCUGAUCAAUGUGCUGACGUGUGGACUGUACCAUUACUGCUGAUCAAUGUGCUGACGUGUGGACUGUACCAUUACUGCUGAUCAAUGUGCUGACGUGUGGACUGUACCAUUACUGCUGGAUGAAGACAAGGAUGACGUUUUGGGCGACCCUGGCUAGAGCAAAAUGGUGGCUUGUUCAUGCAGCAUGGUUGGAGAAACAUAUUGCUUUUAUACGUGUGUAUAUAUAUAUAUAUAUAUAUAAUAUAAAUAUGAUAUAUUACAGAGCUGUUGUUUUGUUGUAGCUGACCAAAACGAUUGGCUGUCACUGCUGCUCUGCGGCUAAGUCACCGCCAUCCAAUAAUAGACGAUAUACAAUACAUAUAUGUAACCCAGAUAGAAAAUAAAUAAUAUAUAAUUAAUUACAUUUACCGUGCGUACCAUGUUUUGGGGUGCAACGUCAUUAGGUCACGUGACGGUGUCUCACCAAGUCACGUGACUGCGCGCCACCAAUCAGUGACGUAUAUCUAGUCCGGAAGGGACUACACACCGGUAGCGGUGAGGGACGCAUGGAAUGGCUGCAGGGGCCGUCCACCGACGCGACGCUGAACUUAAAAAGAUCACACCUAUGGAAUUGAUUGGAGAGACUAUACGUAGCAAAGCGGUGUCGGGGUUGCCACACGCAACGUGUCCAAGUCCUUUCCGUCAGCUUUAGUGCCAGCUUCUGCCGUGGGAAAUGUGGCACACUUCAGCAGUCACACUUUCUCCAUGAAAAAAGCAGCGGCCCUGCUAGGCGCCGCGCUUCCCAUCCCGGCCCCGACGCUCCUGCAAAAGGAACCCGUCCAGACUUGAUCUCAGUUGUCCAUCUCUCCCAAAUGAAAGCCGCCAUGGGAGAUAAUCCUCGCCUGAAGUCAUCACAUGGACAAGAGGAGUGUCCGUAUCAGGGGUGUCCAAAGUGUGUCCCGGGACAUUCAAAAAAUAACAUUUAAAAAAAACUAAAAUAAUGAAAAAAAAUCUGUAACUUCAGAAAUAUUACAGAAAAAAGCUGUAAUCUAAGGAGAAUAAACACAUAAUUAUAUUUUUUUGAAGAACCAAACAAAACAAAACAAAAAAAGGUUGUCAUUUUUGGAAAAUGAGGUUGGGGAUGAAGUUAUAAUAUCAUAGGAAUAAAUUCAUAAAUAUUAUGGGAAUAAAGCUGUAAUAUUAUGGAAAUAAAAUCACAAUAUUAUGGAAAUAAAAUCAUAAUAUUAUGGGACCAAAGAUUAGAUUCAGAAUAUUAUGGGAAUAAAUGCCCAUAGAAAUAGAGUCAUAAUAUUAUUUACCAACUUUAUGCAAGAAGAAAGUUGAAAUGUUUGUGAAACAGCCAAAAUAGGUGGGAAAAAAUUGGUAGUAAUUUUACAAAAAUAAAACCAAAAAUCGGAGGAGAAAAAGUUGUCAUGCUGAUGAAAUGAUUUUGCUUUCAUUAGCGUUGGCUCCAAGCCAAGGGCUGCUCGCCGUGCUCGUCCUUCCAUCGGUUGCUUUACGUGUGACAGAGGCGGACAAAAGCGAUAGUCGUCACAUAGUCGUCACAGGACAACGUGAAACAUGCCAGGAUUAUGUCGAGUAUAACACAGACUCGUACGUCACAGCAAGCUCACAAUGAUUGCAGCCACUAGGUGGCGCCAAAACACCCUUUCACAUUUUGACUACGAGACUUUUCCUUGUCAUGUUACCAGUUUUUGUUUUUUUUUAGAUACUCACACCCGACUAUGAUUGGCUGGCGACCAGUCCAGGGUGUACCCCGCCUCUCGCCCGAAGACAGCUGGGAUAGGCUCCAGCACCCCCCGCGACCCUCGUGAGGAAAAGCGGUAGAAAAUGAAUGAAUGAAUGAACACCCGACUAGAAGCGACAGGAUGCACGGAGACGAGAGACAGACCCUUUGGGCCUGCCGUCAACAAAUCUACCAAGUGCAUUAGCCAUGUCAAACCUGUGCAAAUAUUUGCAGCGAGAGUGAGACGGAUGUUUGCUUGGGUAUACAAGAAGCGUCCCAGCACGCUUAUGCGAGGAGGACAAGAUAAAUACCACCCCCUCCGCUCGUUAAUAGUCAGGGAGCAGAUAAGCCGGGGGAAUCCGUCUGGCGGAACACCAACAACGCUCGGGGGGCCCACGGAAAAUCGGAAGUCAGAAAUAGACCCGUCAGCGAUUAGUGGCUCAAAAAUAACAUCAACAACUUCAGUAGCAUAGAAUUGGAAUAUUGGAAAGGCAACUAUUUCAUGUUUACUUCAUGUUUAGAGGGCUCUAAUGAUGUUAAAAUAAUAAUAAUGUUAAAAUGUAUGUUGACAACUGGCGGUUUCCUAUCUCUUGGAAGUCACGUUUCCUCUUAUUAUGUCUACUAUAUUAGGUCAUAAUAGGAGUGUAAAGGUGACUAUAACAAUGUUUAAAAGCAUAUUUGUGUACUUAUUUUCUCUAAUGAUGUUGAGCAUAUUGGGUCAAAGGUGACUACAGGGGUGUUAUCACAUGUCUAGAGAGCUCUAAUAAUGUAAGAAAGUGGAUUUGAAGAUUUCAUAACAUCUAUAACGGCUUUUCUAUGUCUUAUAAGUCAUAUUUAUUCUAAUGUAUGUACGUAUGUCUACCACGUAUAUUGGGUAAUAGGAGUGUAAAGGCGACUAUAGGGGUGUUAUUGCAUAUCCAGAGGGCUCCAAUAAUAUUGCAAAAGGUGGUAAACAGGUCUUCUCUGUCUCAUAAGUCACAUUGUCUCUGAUUAUAUCGACUAUAUUUGAUAAGAGGAAUGUACAAGUCAUUAUACGGGUGUUAUUUCAUGUUUUGAGGGCUCAAAAAAUUGUGUGUUUUGU